This 545-nucleotide ribosomal RNA is filed under the name Klebsiella pneumoniae. RNAcentral's name for it is "partial 23S ribosomal RNA". It matches the Rfam family "Bacterial large subunit ribosomal RNA", at positions 2279 to 2823 of the family's 2925-position model. Lineage: Bacteria; Pseudomonadati; Pseudomonadota; Gammaproteobacteria; Enterobacterales; Enterobacteriaceae. RNAcentral also lists the same sequence under 1 other name. The record is from RNAcentral.
GCGGUCUCCUCCCAAAGCGUAACGGAGGAGCACGAAGGUUAGCUAAUCCUGGUCGGACAUCAGGAGGUUAGUGCAAUGGCAUAAGCUAGCUUGACUGCGAGCGUGACGGCGCGAGCAGGUGCGAAAGCAGGUCAUAGUGAUCCGGUGGUUCUGAAUGGAAGGGCCAUCGCUCAACGGAUAAAAGGUACUCCGGGGAUAACAGGCUGAUACCGCCCAAGAGUUCAUAUCGACGGCGGUGUUUGGCACCUCGAUGUCGGCUCAUCACAUCCUGGGGCUGAAGUAGGUCCCAAGGGUAUGGCUGUUCGCCAUUUAAAGUGGUACGCGAGCUGGGUUUAGAACGUCGUGAGACAGUUCGGUCCCUAUCUGCCGUGGGCGCUGGAGAAUUGAGGGGGGCUGCUCCUAGUACGAGAGGACCGGAGUGGACGCAUCACUGGUGUUCGGGUUGUCAUGCCAAUGGCACUGCCCGGUAGCUAAAUGCGGAAGAGAUAAGUGCUGAAAGCAUCUAAGCACGAAACUUGCCCCGAGAUGAGUUCUCCCUGAGACUU